This 468-nucleotide ribosomal RNA is filed under the name uncultured bacterium. RNAcentral's name for it is "partial 16S ribosomal RNA". It matches the Rfam family "Bacterial small subunit ribosomal RNA", at positions 28 to 507 of the family's 1533-position model. The record is from RNAcentral.
GACGAACGCUGGCGGCGUGCUUAACACAUGCAAGUCGAACGGAAAGGCCCUGCUUUUGUGGGGUGCUCGAGUGGCGAACGGGUGAGUAACACGUGAGUAACCUGCCCUUGACUUUGGGAUAACUUCAGGAAACUGGGGCUAAUACCGGAUAGGAGCUCCUGCUGCAUGGUGGGGGUUGGAAAGUUUCGGCGGUUGGGGAUGGACUCGCGGCUUAUCAGCUUGUUGGUGGGGUAGUGGCUUACCAAGGCUUUGACGGGUAGCCGGCCUGAGAGGGUGACCGGCCACAUUGGGACUGAGAGACGGCCCAGACUCCUACGGGAGGCAGCAGGGGGGAAUAUUGCACAAUGGGCGGAAGCCUGAUGCAGCAACGCCGCGUGCGGGAUGACGGCCUGCGGGUUGUAAACCGCUUUCGCCUGUGACGAAGCGUGAGUGACGGUAAUGGGUAAAGAAGCACCGGCUAACUACGUG